RNAcentral lists this ribosomal RNA (1346 nucleotides) under uncultured bacterium. Its description in RNAcentral is "partial 16S ribosomal RNA". It matches the Rfam family "Bacterial small subunit ribosomal RNA", at positions 28 to 1381 of the family's 1533-position model. The record is from RNAcentral.
GACGAACGCUGGCGGCGUGCUUAACAUAUGCAAGUCGAACGGAAAGGCCCUGCUUUUGUGGGGUGCUCGAGCGGCGAACGGGUGAGUAACACGUGAGUAACCUGCCCUUGACUUUGGGAUAACUUCAGGAAACUGGGGCUAAUACCGGAUAGGAGCUCCUGCUGCAUGGUGGGGGUUGGAAAGUUUCGGCGGUUGGGGAUGGACUCGCGGCUUAUCAGCUUGUUGGUGGGGUAGUGGCUUACCAAGGCUUUGACGGGUAGCCGGCCUGAGAGGGUGACCGGCCACAUUGGGACUGAGAUACGGCCCAGACUCCUACGGGAGGCAGCAGUGGGGAAUAUUGCACAAUGGGCGGAAGCCUGAUGCAGCAACGCCGCGUGCGGGAUGACGGCCUUCGGGUUGUAAACCGCUUUCGCCUGUGACGAAGCGUGAGUGACGGUAAUGGGUAAAGAAGCACCGGCUAACUACGUGCCAGCAGCCGCGGUGAUACGUAGGGUGCGAGCGUUGUCCGGAUUUAUUGGGCGUAAAGGGCUCGUAGGUGGUUGAUCGCGUCGGAAGUGUAAUCUUGGGGCUUAACCCUGAGCGUGCUUUCGAUACGGGUUGACUUGAGGAAGGUAGGGGAGAAUGGAAUUCCUGGUGGAGCGGUGGAAUGCGCAGAUAUCAGGAGGAACACCAGUGGCGAAGGCGGUUCUCUGGGCCUUUCCUGACGCUGAGGAGCGAAAGCGUGGGGAGCGAACAGGCUUAGAUACCCUGGUAGUCCACGCUGUAAACGGUGGGUACUAGGUGUGGGGUCCAUUCCACGGGUUCCGUGCCGUAGCUAACGCUUUAAGUACCCCGCCUGGGGAGUACGGCCGCAAGGCUAAAACUCAAAGGAAUUGACGGGGCCCCGCACAAGCGGCGGAGCAUGCGGAUUAAUUCGAUGCAACGCGUAGAACCUUACCUGGGUUUGACAUGGAUCGGGAGUGCUCAGAGAUGGGUGUGCCUCUUUUGGGGUCGGUUCACAGGUGGUGCAUGGCUGUCGUCAGCUCGUGUCGUGAGAUGUUGGGUUAAGUCCCGCAACGAGCGCAACCCUUGUUCACUGUUGCCAGCACGUUAUGGUGGGGACUCAGUGGAGACCGCCGGGGUCAACUCGGAGGAAGGUGGGGAUGACGUCAAGUCAUCAUGCCCCUUAUGUCCAGGGCUUCACGCAUGCUACAAUGGCUGGUACAGAGAGUGGCGAGCCUGUGAGGGUGAGCGAAUCUCGGAAAGCCGGUCUCAGUUCGGAUUGGGGUCUGCAACUCGACCUCAUGAAGUCGGAGUCGCUAGUAAUCGCAGAUCAGCAACGCUGCGGUGAAUACGUUCCCGGGGCU